RNAcentral lists this ribosomal RNA (497 nucleotides) under uncultured bacterium. Its description in RNAcentral is "partial 16S ribosomal RNA". It matches the Rfam family "Bacterial small subunit ribosomal RNA", at positions 28 to 507 of the family's 1533-position model. The record is from RNAcentral.
GAUGAACGCUGGCGGCGUGCCUAAUACAUGCAAGUCGAGCGAACGGAGGAGAAGCUUGCUUCUCUGAUGUUAGUGGCGGACGGGUGAGUAACACGUGGAUAACCUACCUAUAAGACUGGGAUAACCUCGGGAAACCGGAGCUAAUACCGGAUAAUAUUUUGAACCGCAUGGUUCAAAAGUGAAAGACGGUCUUGCCGUCACUGAUAGAUGGAUCCGCGUUGCAUUAGCUAGUUGGUAAGGUAACGGCUUACCAAGGCAACGAUGCGUAGCCGACCUGAGAGGGUGGUCUGCCACGCUGGAACUGAACCGCGGUCCGGACUCCUACGGGAGGCAACGGUAGGGAAUCUUCCGCAAUGGGCGGAGGCCUGACGGGGCAACGCCGCGUGAGUGAUGAAGGUCUUCGGAUCGUGAUACUCUGUUAUUAGGGAAGAACAUAUGUGUAAGUAACUGUGCACAUCUUGACGGUACCUAAUCAGAAAGCCACGGCUAACUACGUG